This 148-nucleotide small nuclear RNA is filed under the name Pogona vitticeps (central bearded dragon). RNAcentral describes it as "U1 spliceosomal RNA (ENSPVIG00000016243.1)". It matches the Rfam family "U1 spliceosomal RNA", at positions 27 to 161 of the family's 166-position model. From Rfam's summary of the family: U1 is a small nuclear RNA (snRNA) component of the spliceosome (involved in pre-mRNA splicing). Lineage: Eukaryota; Metazoa; Chordata; Lepidosauria; Squamata; Agamidae. The record is from RNAcentral.
GGACCUAUUGCAAAGACAGCAAGGCCUGCUUUUUCCCAAGGUAAGGCUCAUCCAUUGCACUUCAGCUGUGUUGAUCCCUGUGAUUUCCCCAAAUGUGGGGAACUCAACUGCAUAAUUUGCGGUAACGGGGGAUUGCAUUGGUGCUCUC